ACAUUCAAUUGGUAUUUGUGCUGAGG
This 26-nucleotide non-coding RNA is filed under the name Cricetulus griseus (Chinese hamster). Lineage: Eukaryota; Metazoa; Chordata; Mammalia; Rodentia; Cricetidae. The record is from RNAcentral.